GGAGUCGGCCAGGCAAUCGCGCGCUGCUUGCAGCGGGAGGAAAGUCCGGGCUCCGGCGGGCAGGGUGCCAGGUAACGCCUGGGGGGCGCGAGCCCACGGAAAGUGCCACAGAAAAUAUACCGCCUGUAGUUCGUUUAUUCGGGCUGCAGGUAAGGGUGAAAUGGUGCGGUAAGAGCGCACCGCGCGGGUGGUAACACUUCGCGGCAGGGUAAACCCCACCUGGAGCAAGACCAAAUAGGGAAGCAUGUUGCUUUGCAACGACCGUGCCCGCAGGUGCUUCCGGGUAGGUUGCUUGAGGCCACUGGUGACGGUGGUCCCAGAUGAAUGAUUGCUCACGACAGAACCCGGCUUAUCGGCCGACUCCACUU
RNAcentral lists this RNase P RNA (368 nucleotides) under Gammaproteobacteria bacterium. RNAcentral's name for it is "RNase P RNA component class A". It matches the Rfam family "Bacterial RNase P class A". Rfam says of the family: Ribonuclease P (RNase P) is a ubiquitous endoribonuclease, found in archaea, bacteria and eukarya as well as chloroplasts and mitochondria. Its best characterised activity is the generation of mature 5'-ends of tRNAs by cleaving the 5'-leader elements of precursor-tRNAs. Lineage: Bacteria; Pseudomonadati; Pseudomonadota; Gammaproteobacteria. The record is from RNAcentral.